Gasterosteus aculeatus aculeatus (three-spined stickleback) is the source of this 1032-nucleotide long non-coding RNA. The record is from Ensembl. NCBI's taxonomy places the organism in Eukaryota, Metazoa, Chordata, Actinopteri, Perciformes, Gasterosteidae.
GCAAAACCAAGAGGCAACACAAGCGGUUGUUGAAAAGCUAACCGGGUCGAAUGCUUAUUAACUUACUCGUGAAUUUCUUUAGCUAAAAAAAACUCAUGGGCUUAUAGUUUAAGUACAAAUAGUUUAACACUUGAGGCUUGACAAUGGUUUCCACGAGCUGUUGUUUCCUAAUGUUGCGGUUUGUUGACAUUUUUACGCUUUCACCGUUGGAUAGCAUACAGAUGCUACCGUUGAGCUAGCACCAUUAGCCUCCUAAUAGAUGACCAUGAUUUUCAUCAAGACAAUCCGUAUUAGUUAAUAGCUCGUUGUGCAUCGUUAGCUCAUCCUUCCAAAGUGUAUCCGUUCAUCAACUGCCUGAAAUAUUCAUCUCCAAGAGGUAAACGUUAACCAAUGGUGUCGCGUUAAAGCGUAUAAACAACAUGGUAGCGUUUUCCGAGGAGAACUUUUGACGUUGUAUUCGAGUCUUGAUUUUCUCACAAACACGCGAAAGUCCACCAUGUCGGACCUAGACACCCUCAUCGUGACCUUUCAGACCCAGCUGUCGGAUGUAAUGGAGACCGUAACAAAGACCGCCAUGUACGAGGUCACGAGGUUGGUUGAGGAGGGCUUCUUGGAGGAGAUGCAGCGCAGGAACCAGGAGCUGGAGUCCCUGAGGAUGCAGCUGCGACGGGCUGAGACGAAACUAAGUGACCAAGUGGGGAAAGACGCAAGAACAACCGGGAGGUGCGUUGGGUGUUCAAAGGGUGAUGUGCCACUGCGCGGUGGUGAUCCUGCAGAAGGAAGCCCCACAGAACAGCCAGCUGAUAUCUUCAGGGCCUGCGUGAUCAAAGAAGAAGGUGACUCUAUGGAAAGGUGGUCAAUGUGCUGCGCACAGGAAGUCAUACCAGAGUCGGAAGACAAUCCUACAUGCACUUUUAGUCCUGAGAGGAAGCGUCUGGUGGGUCACAGUACUGUCUGAUUGGAGUUUAAGUCAUUGUUAUGCACAUCCUCUCUGGCAGGACAAUUCCUCUCAGAGUAGACAACUAACAAAAC